GAAAUAUUAAGAUAAAUAUUCUAUUAGCCUUCAAAGUUAAAAAUGUAUCUUAUGUGAAUUUACAGUUCA
This 69-nucleotide transfer RNA is filed under the name Phintella cavaleriei. RNAcentral describes it as "tRNA-Trp". Lineage: Eukaryota; Metazoa; Arthropoda; Arachnida; Araneae; Salticidae. The record is from RNAcentral.